UGUGAUAUGAAACAAAGCAGACGCAACAAGCUCCGGCUGUAACGCAGUUUUAAUUGUUUUGCAGGUGAGUGGGGAAAACGUUGCUGACCUUCAGGAGGCGCGCAGAGCACCGUCGCCUCGUUUCCAUGGUUACAGUCUCCCGUGACAAACGUCUUGCUCCUGCACGCGCUCAAGCUCUUCUCGUCGCCACGGCAACCCAGCCGCUCAAAGUGGUAGAGGCCGGAGCCCGAGCCGAACUGGGAGUGCUGCAGCGCCGUGCCGAUGUCGCUGUCCGGGAGAAACCCAGACCCGGUGAGAACAUCCAAUCGCAUGGCGUACGCCAGCAGUGGCUCCGCCUACCUCAACCCCAGCUGCCUGCAGAUGACGCUGGCGUCUCUGUCGGACCAGUGAGAGUCGCACACCGCCCCCCACUGGCCGUUCAGGUAGACUUCCACCCGGCCGCUGCUGGAUGACGAGCCGCCCACCAGCCGAGCCGCGCCUAGAGGACAGAAAACCAGAAGUGGCCGUAAGCAACAUGACUCGGAGAAAAAGGAAGCGACUCCCAGUUAACAUCCCUACACCAUUGCAAACAUCCAUUGUGACACCUUCUGAAGAAUAAUGGAAGGAGCCGGAACAGACAAAUGGAAUGUGGACGGAAUGGGUGAAGCACAAGAAGAACGAAAGAAAGAAAAAAAAAAGGCUCCUUUGCAUCAAAACAAUGGAGUCAAAACCACAACCGAUGUCACUUGUGUAUCGCGGGUGUGCUUCCUGUCAGCAGGUAAAGCAAGAAAGUUUGACAGCUGUUUGUCUCCUUUCCCGGAAAUCAGGUCACAUUCCACAAGGGGAAGACACCAAAGGUGACUCGGCACCACCACGCUGAUCUUGCAAGGCCACCAUCCCGUGCUGCCUUCAGGUACGGCCUGCACGCAAAACUAGAAGGAGACCUUUGUUUUCCGGAGAUGACUUCCUCCUGCUCUUUAUCUCUCCUCCUGCAUGCCGCUUUGCCUUCAAGCCGGGAUUAAUUCAACUUUAUCCACUUCACAUACGCUUUAGUUUUACCCGCACAUGCUCCAGGCUGGAAGAUUACUGGGGGAAAAUGAUUUCCUUUUUUUAGGACUUGCCU
Molecule: long non-coding RNA, 1102 nt
Organism: Nerophis ophidion (straightnose pipefish)
Lineage: Eukaryota; Metazoa; Chordata; Actinopteri; Syngnathiformes; Syngnathidae
Exons: 7
Source: RefSeq, a predicted model, not a curated record